Triticum aestivum (bread wheat) is the source of this 3741-nucleotide long non-coding RNA. RefSeq lists it as uncharacterized. The transcript is spliced from 4 exons. The record is from RefSeq and is a predicted model, not a curated record. Lineage: Eukaryota; Viridiplantae; Streptophyta; Magnoliopsida; Poales; Poaceae.
AUAUUGCCGUCGAGCGACGAGCGAGCGAAGCCUUUGCCCUCGAGUGACGCCACACCACAUCCUUCGCCCUCGCAGCCGCCGCCGAUCCCCUCCCUCAAACGCCACCGCCCGUCGCUGCCGCCCCCGCCACCUUCCGUCGCGGCCGCCCCCGCCACCUCCCGUCGCGGGCAGGCGGGAGGAGCCCUGCCCGGCCAUGGCGACACCGCCGGCGGCCUCCUCCUACCCCUCACCUUCUCUCCCUCUCCCAAGGGAGGGAAGGGAAUGGAAGGAUCCGGCGGCAGGGGGGCAGCGCCCAGAUCCGCAGCCGCACCGGCGGGCCGCCAUCCCUCGAGAUCGUCCAUGGAGGUCCGACCCGGCUGCAGCCAUGGACUGAGACGCCCGAAACCCUAGCUACGCGUGGAGGUCCGACGCCUCAACCUCCAAGGAAAAGACGCGCGCCGGCUGCAGGCCAUCUCCGGUGACCUCCGACCAUUGUUGCAGGGAAGGAGGCCAGCUGCUGCUCCUACUGCUUCGGGUGGACGAGGACGAGCCCUCCCUCAUCGCUGCUGCGGCUGCCUACUCCCUCCUCCUACCCCGGCGACGAGGUGUAUGGCGCCGGCACGGCCGUGCUCGAGCGCCUCCAGGACCCCGCAGAGGAGAAUCAAGGCGUGGCGCCUCCUGGACUCCGUCCGUCGCCACUUUGUCGACGACGUCCCUGCCGCCGGGCAGGAAGGUAUUAGAUGACGUACUCGAUGCCCACCUGCAAGGUCAGCCUCCCAUCCUCCCGGUCCUUCCCAGCAAAUAGAUCUGGUAAAAUUUGAAUAAUGAUCUGGACUUCAACGAUUAAUUAAUCUCCUGGACUCUAAUGGGAACUUUUUUGUUACUGAACUUCGUAGUUGGUUUGCAUAAAAUCUGAAGUCUGUCUAACAUAUUUUACUUGAAUACAGUUCGCUUCAGAAUUCUACUUUAUAUAUGUGAGCAUUACUUUCUUAGGGUAUCUGAUUUACUUGGAGGAGUAUUUAAUUACACGUAUGUGUAGUACAAGUUGUUAUUUCUCAAUAAUUUUGAUGGCCUCUAAGCAUCAUUGUUCAUGUCUAUUAUUAUUUAUGAAAGCUACAUGUCUUGGAGGGAAGUUGCGAGUUGCGACUUGAGGGAGUGAGCUCCCAUUCUCUCAAUUUCUUGGCAUGGCCAUGCUUGCAGUACUGAUAAGGCAUGCUUCAAAAAUGGAGGGAGGACGUGAGCUGCCGCCUUGGUUCCUGUCCGCACCAGCCGCCACAGUAUGUAAUCAGGCCUCCACUAUCGUCCUCUGAAUUUUGGAUUACAUGCAUCUACAAGAGCGUGAGAGCUUGAGAGGGUAGCACAGUGCUACAUAGAAGUUAAUUUUUCUCCAUGAAGUUGAUCUGAUGCGAAGCUGCUGCCAGAUUGAAGGUUAAUUGAGUUCUCAUCUCCAAAAUGUUUGCAUUCUAAGUAUCCUCUUUGAUUCAGUGGUUCCAUGAUGCUACAGUUCACUUCUUUUGCACAUUAAAAUUUUCUGAUAAACUAUGCCAAUAUCACAUGCAUAUGCAUUUUUUUAGUGAUGUCUGAUUAUUAAUCCAUGCUACAAUAAAUAGGUCUGGUGCCUUGCUUUUCAUAAUUAAAUUUGUAUUUAUUUUCUUAUAUUCAAACAAAUGUUUGUAGAGAACAGUGUUCGGUGACUUAGAUAGCUUUAGUGAGUUGAUGGUUUGACUUGCUAGGUAUGCCUGCAAGGAGGACAUUGUAAUUUGGUCCAACAAGUACACACAACAAUCUUCUGAUUGUUCAACAUUCUUUAUUGCGUGAAUUUCUGACAUAUCAGGAUGCAGGUACAUGACACUAUUGUGUUGUCUGCAGAGGUUCUCAUUCUGAAAGAAACUGCAACUAUGCAAGAGCUUAUUGACGGAGAUUAUGAAAUUUGCAGUUCAAGUUCUGGACAUCAGAUUGGAUAUACUUUACUAAAGGUGCACCAAUCGGCCCUCCAUCUCCUAGGGUGAUGGCACAAUGACAUCGACAGCGGCAGCAAUUACGCACAGUACGGUUAAAAACUUUUUAUUUACUUGGGUCUGCUACCUCAGAUUGAUGCGUCAUGCUCGGGCAAUAAUAGUCCAAGCUUCAUCGUGUAAUAAGCUCACCUGCGUGCACAGGUAAGUGGUUCUGGUACUGCUGCUGUUUUUGUUUGUUAUAUUUGCUGCCAGUCUGAUUGCUACUAUCUACUGUACGUGCUUAUUGUUUGGCUUUGAAGAGAUAUUUGCUCGAUGUUAUGCCAAUUAAUUUCAAACAUAUGGUAAACUGUGAUUUGCUCCUCAAUUUGUAUUGUAUCUGAGAUCUCAUUUGUGCGUAGAAUAUUAGCUUCUUCAUGGCAAUUUCAAUGUUACAUGUACCAUAGUAAGCCAAUCAAUAUCUGCACCAUAUUGGUCUGAUGCUUUCUUACCCUCUCAUCCUUAAUUAAUAGGCAUUUUCCAAUAGGAUCAGCUUUGCUGUGCAAACUCACUUGUAUUUUCCAUGUUAUUUGCUGGGUAUCUUGAAGGUUCAUGGUCUGAAUAUAAAUAAGAUUCGGUUCUUCUCUCAGAAACUUGUCCUUCUGCUUAUAUUUGCAUUUGCUAUUGAUGAUGUAAUUUGAGCAAUACCCAUAGCGUUUUUACCAAGUUUGGAUAAAAGCAUAUAUAAGUCUGAUUUUAACAAUAUUUUGUGAUCGACUAUGUGUUUGCCCAAACUUUAUUAGAUGACAUGGAAUGCUUGAUUAAUGAUAUCAUUUUAUUUUAUUUUCUUUGUGGUUCCUGGUGUGAAGCAACAAAUUUGAAUAAAAAUAUUUAUUUAUUUAGAAACAUUUUUAAGUUUAUCUGUAUAUAUUGAUAUUAGCUUGACAUUUGAACAAGAAAUAGUUUCUUAAUACGUACUUUUGAAUUUUAUGCACUUGUAUGUACACUGCUACUAACGGUGCUCUUGAUCAUGUCAUACAUGAGUACUAAUGGUGCAUGCCUUAAUAUUGGAAUGGAAUGAAUACCAGCUUAUGUAGAGAAGCGAGGCCUUUUCAUAUUUGAGGAAGAAUGUCAUGCAACCAAGAAGAAUAGGAUGGGUAUUCUAGUAAUCCUGUGGAUUAGUCUCUAUAGUUGUUGGCGGCCUAUAAAGCAGAGGAGCUAUGGAGAGGAGGGUUAGGAGGGUGGCGAGCCAGCGGCGUGAAGAGAAAAUGUUAGGGUCACAAUAGCAAACGAGUUCAUCUUGCCUGGGUUGCAACUGUUAAGAAAGAAGAUAGAGCUUCAGGUGAGGCAUAUCGUCCCUAGGAAUUUGUUGGUCUCGAGGAUUGUUCCAGGAAGCACUUCUGAUGACAACAUGACGUUGGGCCUCGGGGACAUGGUAAGCUACGUACUUAUGUCACAAUUUUCAUCCAUUCAGACUUGUUUUUGUGAUUCUUGUACUACCACUGAUCCAUAUAUGAUCUCUUAUACUCAUCAUUUAAUCCUGCUUAAAUUAUAGUACUAAACGUGGUUGUACUUUAAAAGGUCUCAAACUUGUGCAGGUAACCAACAGAAACAUAUUGAAGCACAUUGUUGUCAUCAUCCACUUAGUGCCCGCCGGGUCACGCUCAGCAGCAACGGUGCACGGCGAUGGGAAAGAAGCAGGGGUGGCGGGAUCAUCACCAGUGGGGUCAUCGGGGAGAAGAUGGAGGCAGAUAAGAAAGGAACGGGCUCGGUUGGGUGUGGAAAGGAGAAUGAGAGAGACAACGAUGAUGUGGUGCUGCACCACUGC